GUUAUUUUCCAAAAUGGAAUACAGUGUACAAUAUUGACUCCAAAGGUUACCAAUCCCUUAGCUGCUAUAGUAUUAAGAAGCUAUUCGAUGAGGCUUUUGGUGCUUAUGUCGACAAAAAAGGUCGCCAUAACAAGAAUUUUGGUCGCACAGUUAUAUGGAAACAUUUUCAGGCACACAUACAACCACCUGGCAGUAUGCUUUGCGGACAAUAUGUGAUGUACCACAUGUUAUCCUUUGUGGAUAAUCUUAGUUUGGACCGUGAUCGAUAUCCUCAGGAUGUUUUUAUAGUCUGAAUUCUAUUUUACUCAAACCUAUGCAAUAUGACGUUAUAAUUAUUUACAUGGUUUAUGUUUUUCAAGGGUCGUGCUGGUUUUGCAACCUGUCCAUUAUUGCCUGAUGAGAUAGAAAAUGUCCGAGAACGGUUGCUCGACUUCUUCAUGAAUGAGGUGAUAGACAUUGGUGGAUCAUGCAGGGUUGACGGUGCUUCAUAUAACUAAAUCUAGCAUGGCUUCCUAG
This is a long non-coding RNA of Zea mays, 516 nucleotides long. RefSeq lists it as uncharacterized. The transcript has 3 exons. The record is from RefSeq and is a predicted model, not a curated record. Lineage: Eukaryota; Viridiplantae; Streptophyta; Magnoliopsida; Poales; Poaceae.